AAGCUGCUGCUCUGUCCGGUGUGUUCCAUACAGACGCUAAAGGGUGCGUUUUGCGUUGGAUCUGAUGCUCAGAGACACUG
Long non-coding RNA from Etheostoma cragini (Arkansas darter), 80 nucleotides. RefSeq lists it as uncharacterized. The record is from RefSeq and is a predicted model, not a curated record. The transcript is spliced from 3 exons. NCBI's taxonomy places the organism in Eukaryota, Metazoa, Chordata, Actinopteri, Perciformes, Percidae.